GGGGGGGGGGGGGGCCAUCAGUACCUCUUGUAUACAGGGCCCAGGAUUUGGUGCAACGGCCCUGGGUGGCGGUAAUGUGGAGUUGUAAAAGCGGCAAAGAAACUGUAUCAAAUCAACGCUGAGUUUAAGAGAAUCACCACCGUUCCACUUCAAUCCAGGUUCCUGUCUCAGCUGGACGUUCACUCUGACAAACUGACGAGGCUGUUCCAAAGGAGAGGAGGACAUCUAGGGCAAAAGCUAAAAAAAACGCAAAAAUGGCAGAUUGUGAUGAUGUCGAUGUUGGACGGGAGUGUAUUAUCAAGGGAGUCUGCAUCUACAUGGGUGAAAAUCCAGAAAACCUUGUGCACGAAUACGCGGCAUGGCAUGGAUGGAGACGCCUUCAAUGCUGCUAUUUAAAAAACCUAGGUCGGGAUUUAUAAAAGAGAAUGAGGCAAGUGAAGAAUCUGAGGACAUUGGAGUUGUCCUCGAAGGCAUCAGGUUGUUAAGAGAUUUAGACAAUAUAGCAUUAGCGGUUGCUAUGCUUUUUGGACUGAUGUACGCACUGAACAUCAGCUACCCCGCCGACCUCCAGUACACCUUUGAGGUAGUACAGAAGAUACUAAUGGACAUGGAUGUGGGUAAACUUUCAAACAAAGUACUCGCACUGAAAAACCGUCUCUUCCAAUGAACGGGUCAAACAAAGCGCUGCCUCUCGGUAAACCUCAGAUGAUCACUGGCCUUAAUUUGUGUUAUUCAUUUCUGUUCCUUAUUUGGUGUAUAAACAUGUGUUGCUCUAGGUAUUCUAGGUUUAUAUUGAUAGUGAUAAGUUUAUUUUUUGUGUGUUGAGCCACUGCUGUGAUAGUAUCCAGUUUGUGUUCAGCCACUGCUGUUGAUGGUAUCCAGUUUGUGUGUUCAGCCAGCGCUGUUGAUGGUUAUCCUGUUUAGUGGAAGAGGCAAUGUGCUUGUUACUAUGUGAAUGGAUCUGCACUCUCCAUAUUUUGUACGGAAGCAAGUGUAUGUUUGUGAAUUACCAUAAUGUAUAGCUGUUGGCUAGUGACAUGUUGCAACACAAAGGGAGAGCGGUAAAAAAAUGGGCCAGAAAUUCCCAGUAUAUUGCCUUAUGUUCAGUCAGGGCCACUUCUGAUAACUUUGACUGUUCUAGGCAAAUACAUUUUUAUAUUGAGACAGCGAAAACAGUAAAUGUGGUAUUUGACAGUGAAUCCGCUGCUGUUGAUGCAGGGUAUCGAGUUUGAGUUUUGAUUCAUCUUGCAUCUGUUUACGGCAACUGCACAGAUUUGUCUGUUUUCCUGAAUGUUUUAAAGCUCAAUACAGAAAAUUUGAGUACAAAUGACUGACUCGACCGAUGUCCACAUUAAAAUCGAGUAAAUUCAAUGAA
Gadus morhua (Atlantic cod) is the source of this 1375-nucleotide long non-coding RNA. RefSeq lists it as uncharacterized. The transcript is spliced from 4 exons. Lineage: Eukaryota; Metazoa; Chordata; Actinopteri; Gadiformes; Gadidae. The record is from RefSeq and is a predicted model, not a curated record.